Molecule: ribosomal RNA, 253 nt
Filed under: uncultured bacterium
Lineage: Bacteria
Description: partial 16S ribosomal RNA
Rfam family: Bacterial small subunit ribosomal RNA
Source: RNAcentral
GACAGAGGAUGCAAGCGUUAUUCGGAAUGAUUGGGCGUAAAGCGUCUGUAGGUGGCUUUUUAUGUCCGCCGUCAAAUCCCAGGGCUCAACCCUGGACAGGCGGUGGAAACUACCAAGCUGGAGAACGGUAGGGGCAGAGGGAAUUUCCGGUGGAACGGUGAAAUGCGUAGAGAUCGGAAAGAACACCAACGGCGAAAGCACUCUGCUGGGCCGACACUGACACUGAGAGACGAAAGCUAGGGGAGCGAAUGGG